RNAcentral lists this ribosomal RNA (482 nucleotides) under uncultured bacterium. Its description in RNAcentral is "partial 16S ribosomal RNA". It matches the Rfam family "Bacterial small subunit ribosomal RNA", at positions 30 to 507 of the family's 1533-position model. The record is from RNAcentral.
AUUGAACGCUGGCGGCAUGCCUUACACAUGCAAGUCGAACGGUAACGGGCCUUCGGGUGCCGACGAGUGGCGAACGGGUGAGUAAUACAUCGGAACGUGCCCGAUCGUGGGGGAUAACGAGGCGAAAGCUUUGCUAAUACCGCAUACGAUCUACGGAUGAAAGCAGGGGACCGCAAGGCCUUGCGCGGACGGAGCGGCCGAUGGCAGAUUAGGUAGUUGGUGGGAUAAAAGCUUACCAAGCCGACGAUCUGUAGCUGGUCUGAGAGGAUGAUCAGCCACACUGGGACUGAGACACGGCCCAGACUCCUACGGGAGGCAGCAGUGGGGAAUUUUGGACAAUGGGCGCAAGCCUGAUCCAGCCAUGCCGCGUGCAGGAUGAAGGCCUUCGGGUUGUAAACUGCUUUUGUACGGAACGAAAAGCCUUCUUUUAAUACAGGAGGUUCAUGACGGUACCGUAAGAAUAAGCACCGGCUAACUACGUG